GUGAACUAUGCCUGUGUAGGGUGAAGCCAGAGGAAACCCUGCUGGAGAACCGCUGUGGCUCUGACGUGCAAAUCGAUGGUCAAAUAUGGGAUGAAAGAGGAGAAAAAGUGUUCAAAC
This 117-nucleotide non-coding RNA is filed under the name Trichoderma virens Gv29-8. RNAcentral describes it as "Eukaryotic large subunit ribosomal RNA". It matches the Rfam family "Eukaryotic large subunit ribosomal RNA", at positions 826 to 940 of the family's 3401-position model. Lineage: Eukaryota; Fungi; Ascomycota; Sordariomycetes; Hypocreales; Hypocreaceae. The record is from Rfam by way of RNAcentral.